UCCCUAUCUGCCGUGGGCGUUGGAUGAUUAAUUGGGGCUGCUCCUAGUACGAGAGGACCGGAGUGGACGCAUCACUGGUGUUCCAGUUGUCUCGCCAGAGGCAUUGCUGGGUAGCUAAGUGCGGAAGAGAUAAGUGCUGAAAGCAUCUAAGCACGAAACUUGCCAAGAGAUGAGUCAUCCCUGACUUUAAGUCAGUAAGGGUUGUUGUAGACUACGACGUAGAUAGGUCUGGUGUGUAAGUGUAGUGAUGCAUUGAGCUAACAGAUACUAAUUGCCCGAGAGGCUUAACUAUACAACGCUCAAG
Molecule: ribosomal RNA, 304 nt
Filed under: Haemophilus influenzae
Lineage: Bacteria; Pseudomonadati; Pseudomonadota; Gammaproteobacteria; Pasteurellales; Pasteurellaceae
Description: partial 23S ribosomal RNA
Rfam family: Bacterial large subunit ribosomal RNA
Source: RNAcentral